CCUACGGGAGGCAGCAGUGAGGAAUAUUGGUCAAUGGCCGGGAGGCUGAACCAGCCAAGUCGCGUGAGGGAAGACGGUACUACGGGUUGUAAACCUCGUUUGUCAGGGAGCAAAGUGCAGGGAGGGACCUGCUGCGAGAGUACCCGGAGAAAAAGCAUCGGCUAACUCCGUGCCAGCAGCCGCGGUAAUACGGAGGAUGCGAGCGUUAUCCGGAUGUAUCGGGGUUAAAGGGUGCGUAGGCGGGCAUUUAAGUCGGCGGUAAAAUGUCGGGGCUCAACCCCGGCGUGCCGUCGGAACUGGGUGCAUUGAGUGGGCGAGAGGUAUGCGGAAUGCGUGGUGUAGCGGUGAAAUGCAUAGAU
Molecule: ribosomal RNA, 359 nt
Filed under: uncultured bacterium
Lineage: Bacteria
Description: partial 16S ribosomal RNA
Rfam family: Bacterial small subunit ribosomal RNA
Source: RNAcentral